AUUUAAUCGUGUCCCCGGGGGAGAUUCGUUCUCAUUUUUCUACUGCUCUUGAUGUUCAGCCCACAAGACCUUACUGGUGAAGGAAUGGGACAAGACCCAUCUUUAUGCAAAGCCAGCGUUACAGUAAUGUCCCAGGUAUUCCUGAUGACAGUCUGCCUUCUAUCUUACAGAGCAGCUUGUUGCUAUAUACCAUUGAAAAGCCUUCAGAGCUGAGAGGUACUACUAACCAAUAACCUGCUUGGCUCAAAGGGCCAGCACCUUCUCUCUAAAGCCCAAGAGGAGUUUGAGGAAAACUAGGUGUCUGUGUUCACUCCAGGCUGAAGUUACAGGUCUGAGCAAAUAAGGUGUAUAAAAAAUGGAAUCUGUCUUGGAGGACAUCGGAAGGUGAAUUUUCCAAGUCCUUGGACAACCUAGCUGUUGAAAAGCUUUCUGGGUUUGGGGAGUAUUUCAGAUGUACCUUAAAGUGUUAGCAGACACAGAUUAAGACACUGGGAGCCAAUGAAACAGCAGUUGAGGGUUUGCUGUGUAUCACAUUUCUGUAUUUUAUCACCCCCUUCCUGCAACAUUAUUUCUCUGGAAUCUACCUGCCCUUUUGUUUUUUAGAUACAAGGGCUUGGUUUUGUUACCCAGGCUGGUUUCAAGGCCAUAGCUUUAAGAGAUCCUCUCACCACAGAUUUCCAAAGUGCUGGGAUUGCAGGUGUGAUUCAUGGCACCCAGACUUUGCUGCCUUUCUUACAUAAUCCAGGCCCAGAACCCAAACUCAGGCACUGCAUAGAUGACCA
Molecule: long non-coding RNA, 782 nt
Filed under: Pan troglodytes (chimpanzee)
Lineage: Eukaryota; Metazoa; Chordata; Mammalia; Primates; Hominidae
Description: lincRNA
Source: RNAcentral